CUCGACAACGGAUAUCUCGGCUCUCGCAUCGAUGAAGAACGUAGUGAAAUGCGAUACUUGGUGUGAAUUGCAGAAUCCCGUGAACCAUCGAGUUUUUGAACGCAAGUUGCGCCCGAAGCCUUCUGGCCGAGGGCACGUCUGCCUGGGCGUCACG
RNAcentral lists this ribosomal RNA (154 nucleotides) under Begonia boisiana. RNAcentral's name for it is "5.8S ribosomal RNA". It matches the Rfam family "5.8S ribosomal RNA". From Rfam's summary of the family: 5.8S ribosomal RNA (5.8S rRNA) is a component of the large subunit of the eukaryotic ribosome. The record is from RNAcentral. Lineage: Eukaryota; Viridiplantae; Streptophyta; Magnoliopsida; Cucurbitales; Begoniaceae. RNAcentral also lists the same sequence under 3 other names.